RNAcentral lists this ribosomal RNA (175 nucleotides) under uncultured bacterium. RNAcentral's name for it is "partial 16S ribosomal RNA". It matches the Rfam family "Bacterial small subunit ribosomal RNA", at positions 1326 to 1500 of the family's 1533-position model. The record is from RNAcentral.
UUGGAAUUGCUAGUAAUCGCGGAUCAGCAUGCCGCGGUGAAUACGUUCCCGGGGAUUGUACACACCGCCCGUCACACCAUGAGAGUCGGGAACACCCAAAGUCCGUAGUCUAACCGCAAGGAGGACGCGGCCUAAGGUGGGUUCGAUAAUUGGGGUGAAGUCGUAACAAGGUACC